RNAcentral lists this transfer RNA (64 nucleotides) under Paracoccaceae bacterium. RNAcentral's name for it is "tRNA-OTHER". Lineage: Bacteria; Pseudomonadati; Pseudomonadota; Alphaproteobacteria; Rhodobacterales; Paracoccaceae. RNAcentral also lists the same sequence under 1 other name. The record is from RNAcentral.
CCCGGCGAAUGCCGGCGGGACUACAGUAAUCCAGAGGUCGCGGGUUCAAUUCCCGCCGCCGGGG